Molecule: small nucleolar RNA, 144 nt
Organism: Myotis daubentonii (Daubenton's bat)
Lineage: Eukaryota; Metazoa; Chordata; Mammalia; Chiroptera; Vespertilionidae
Source: RefSeq, a predicted model, not a curated record
CUUCGAUGAGGAGACGAUGACGAGUCUGACUGGGGUGUUGCUGUCCAGGGCCCCUGCCCCGAGCUGCGUCCUGCGGCGCCGUGGUCGGGGCCCCGGGUCAGAGUCGCCACCAGACGAUGACCGAGAGGCAUUUGUCUGAGAAGG